CUGCCCUUUGUACACACCGCCCGUCGCUACUACCGAUUGAAUGGCUCAGUGAGGCGUCCGGACUGGCCCAGAGAGGUGGGCAACUACCACUCAGGGCCGGAAAGCUCUCCAAACUCGGUCAUUUAGAGGAAGUAAAAGUCGUAACAAGGUCUCCGUUGGUGAACCAGCGGAGGGAUCAUUACCGAGUUUACAACUCCCAAACCCCUGUGAACAUACCACUUGUUGCCUCGGCGGAUCAGCCCGCUCCCGGUAAAACGGGACGGCCCGCCAGAGGACCCCUAAACUCUGUUUCUAUAUGUAACUUCUGAGUAAAACCAUAAAUAAAUCAAAACUUUCAACAACGGAUCUCUUGGUUCUGGCAUCGAUGAAGAACGCAGCAAAAUGCGAUAAGUAAUGUGAAUUGCAGAAUUCAGUGAAUCAUCGAAUCUUUGAACGCACAUUGCGCCCGCCAGUAUUCUGGCGGGCAUGCCUGUUCGAGCGUCAUUUCAACCCUCAAGCACAGCUUGGUGUUGGGACUCGCGUUAAUUCGCGUUCCCCAAAUUGAUUGGCGGUCACGUCGAGCUUCCAUAGCGUAGUAGUAAAACCCUCGUUACUGGUAAUCGUCGCGGCCACGCCGUUAAACCCCAACUUCUGAAUGUUGACCUCGGAUCAGGUAGGAAUACCCGCUGAACUUAAG
RNAcentral lists this non-coding RNA (676 nucleotides) under Fusarium oxysporum. RNAcentral's name for it is "eukaryotic LSU rRNA". The stretch from base 1 to 181 matches the Rfam family "Eukaryotic small subunit ribosomal RNA", at positions 1653 to 1831 of the family's 1831-position model. The record is from RNAcentral. Lineage: Eukaryota; Fungi; Ascomycota; Sordariomycetes; Hypocreales; Nectriaceae. RNAcentral also lists the same sequence under 1 other name.